AUGCAGAAAAGGUCCUCAACAAAAUCUAACACUCUUAUAUGAUUAAAAUAUAAAAAUAAAAACACGAAACAAACUAGAGAUACAAGUAAUGUCCUUAACAUGUUAAAGAGCAUUUGUGAGAAACCCAUAAUUAAUGUCAGGCUUCUUGAAGACUGAGUACUUUUCCUCCUAAGAUCAAGAAUCAGACAAAGAUGCCUGCAAUGUCUGCUCCUGCUAUUUCCAUUUAACAUUGAAGUGUAAGUUUGGGCCGUGGCAAUUAGACCAAAAAAAAAAAAAAAAAAAAAAGGAAAAGGAAAAGAAAACAAAAGAAAGGAGAGGAGAGGGGUGGGGAAGGGCCGGGGAGUGGAGGGGAGGCAGGGAGUGGGGAGGGGGCCAGGAGAGGGGAGGGGAGGAGAGGGGAGAAGGAGGAGAGAGGAAGGAAGGAAGGAAGGAAGGAAGGAAGGAAGGAAGGAAGGAAGGAAGGAAGGAAGGAAGAAAAGGAAGGAAGGGGAACAAAGGAAAAGGAAGGAAGGAAGGAGGGAAGGAAGGAGGGGGAAGGAAAGGAAAAGGAAGGAAGGGGAAGGAAGGAAGGGGAAGGAAGGAAGAAAGAAGGAAAGAAAGAGAAGAAAAAGAAAGGAAGGAGGAAGGCAGGAAGCGGAAGGAAGGAAAAGGGAGGAAGGAAGGAAGAAGAAGUCAAAGAAAGAAAAAGGAAGAAGGAAAGAAAAAAGGAAAGAAAGGAAGGAAGGAAGGCAGAAAGUAAAAAAAAGAAAGACAGAAAGGAAGGAAGGAAGGGAAGGGAAGAAAGAAAGGAAGAAAGAAGGAAGGAAGGAAAGAAAGACAAAGAAAGGAAGAAAGAAGGAAGGAAGGAAAGAAAGAGACAAAGAAAGGAAGACAGAAAGAAAGAGGAAGGAAGGAAGGGAGAAAGGAAAGAAGAAAGAAAGAAAGGAAGAAAGAAAAGAAAGAAAAAAGGAAGGAAGAGAGAAAAGGAAGAAAGGAAGGAAGAAAGGAAGGAAAGAAAGAAAGGAAAAGAAAAGAAAGAAAGAAAGGAAGGAAGAAAGAAUGCCCAAAUUAAAAAUAACAUUUAAAAUAAUACCUGUUUGUAGGGUACAUGAUUUGCAUAAAGAAAAUCCAAAAUAAUUUACAAGAGAGGUAACACAUUCAUUCACUCAGGUUGCAGGAUACAAUAUCAACAUAAAAACUUAAUUGCGUUUCUCUACACUAUCAUGAAACAUUUGAGAAAUUAA
RNAcentral lists this long non-coding RNA (1223 nucleotides) under Papio anubis (olive baboon). Its description in RNAcentral is "lncRNA (ENSPANG00000044141.1)". The record is from RNAcentral. Lineage: Eukaryota; Metazoa; Chordata; Mammalia; Primates; Cercopithecidae.